RNAcentral lists this ribosomal RNA (824 nucleotides) under uncultured bacterium. RNAcentral's name for it is "bacterial SSU rRNA". It matches the Rfam family "Bacterial small subunit ribosomal RNA", at positions 543 to 1353 of the family's 1533-position model. The record is from RNAcentral.
UCGUGACUAUACUUAGUCGUAAAUGGGUGGCGUAGGUAGACUGUGUAUGUCGGGCGUGAAAUACCACUGCUCAUCGGUCGGAACGCCGCCCGUAAGCUGCUGGGCUAGAGUGCAGGAGACGAGAGCGGAAUUCUUGGUGUAGCAGUGGAAUGCGUUGAUAUCAAGAGGAACAACCAGUGGCGUAGGCGGCUCUGUGGAAUGUAACUGACAGUGAUGCACGAAAGCGUGGGGAGCAAACACGAUUAGAUACCCUGGUAGUCCACGCCAUAAUCGGUGCACACUUGGUGUAGGAGGAAUUGACCUCUCCUGUGCGGGAGCUAACGCGCUAAGUGUGCCGCAUGGGGAGUACGGUCGCAAGAUUAAAACUCAAAGAAAUAGACGGGGGCCCGCACACGCGGAGGAGCACGUGGCUUAAUUUGAUGCAACGCGAAGAACCUUACCAGGGUUUGACAUGCAGCUGCACGUCCCAUGAAAGUGGGAUUCCUUCGAGGGUGCUGCACAGGUGCUGCAUGGCUGUCGUCAGUUCGUGCCGUGAGGUGUUGGGUUAAGUCCCGCAACGAACGCAACCCUUGUAUUUAGUUGCCACCGCCGGAGCAAUCCGGCGCGCACUCUAAAUAGACUGCCCGUGAUAAGCGGGAGGAAGGUGGGGAUGACGUCAAGUCAGUAUGGCCUUUAUACCCUGGGCUGCACACGUGCUACAAUGGUCGGUACAGAGGGACGCAAGAACGGGAGGGGGAGCCAAUCCCAGAAAACCGGCCCCAGUUCGGAUUGAUGGCUGCAACUCGCCAUCAUGAAGUUGGAUUCGCUAGUAAUGGCGCAUCAGC